CCCAUCUCGGCCUCUGAAUAGCUGGGACUACAGGCAUGCACCACCAUACCCGGCUAAUUUUUGGGGUUUUUUUUGAGACGGAGUCUCACUCUUUCGCCUAGGCUGGAGUGCAGUGGCACAAUCUUGGCUCACUGCAACCUCUGCCUCCCAGGUUCAAGCAACUCUUCUGCCUCAGCUUCCCGAGUAGCUGGGACUACAGGCGCACGCCACCACACCUGGCUAAUUUUUGUAUUUUUUAGUAGAGACAGGGUUUCACCAUAUUGGCCAGGCUGGUCUCGAACUCCUGACCUUGUGAUCCGCCCACCUCAGCCUCCCAAAGUGCUGGGAUUAUAGACGUGAGCCACCGUGCCCGGCCUAAUUUUUGUAUUUUUUAAAGUAGAGUCAGAGUUUCGCCACAUUGGCCAGGCUGGUCUCAAACUCCUGACCUCAAGUGAUGCGCCCACCUCAGCCUCCUAAAGUGCUGGGAUUACAGGCAUGAGCCACUGCGCCUGGCCUAGAUAUUCAUUUCUACAACUCACUGAGCACCCACCCCGAUUCGGGACUCGGUACUGGGUAUCCAGGGAUGCGUAUGACCAGCUCUGCCCUCAAUAGCGGCUCAACACAGGGAGACCUUCAGGUUCUUGGAUAAACAAGCUCUGACGAUCAUUCCCAAACAAGAGUUCAAAAAUGUUUUCCGCAAUAGCAAUGAUAUGGACGGAAAGGAUGCCCUCCUGCACUGAUGCCUCUGGAGGACCACACUUUCCAUUCAGAGACACGCUCAGCACUCAACUCAUGCUGCACACCCGGCCGACCCCAGUACCGACACUCACAGAAUGCAGGUUGGAGAGAGAUGCCGACUUCCGAGGAGGUGUCUUCUUCGGACUGAACGUAUUCCCAAAGAAAGGCAUCUUUGGCCUGAUGAAAGCAAAGCCAGUGCUCCCUUCUCCUAGGGUCAGAAAAAGUCAGGGGUACAAGCAGCUGGAUCACUGACCUUAUGCCAUUGUCUUCAAAUCUUGAAGACAUACAUUUUAUCAUGUGGCUACUAACGAUCCUGGUGCUAUGGUUUGAAUGUCCCCACCAAAACUCAUGUUGAAAUUGAAU
This 1080-nucleotide long non-coding RNA is filed under the name Homo sapiens (human). Its description in RNAcentral is "TOMM22 divergent transcript". The record is from RNAcentral. Lineage: Eukaryota; Metazoa; Chordata; Mammalia; Primates; Hominidae.